Molecule: long non-coding RNA, 264 nt
Filed under: Mytilus galloprovincialis (Mediterranean mussel)
Lineage: Eukaryota; Metazoa; Mollusca; Bivalvia; Mytilida; Mytilidae
Source: RNAcentral
GUGAUAUUAAGUGCACGGCAGUUAACUUUGUACCCUUUAUUCAGUUAGGUGUGUUGCUUAGGUGGUAGGUGAAUCUAUUGUUCAGGUACUAUAGGAUAAAAGAUACUUUCCGCUAAAUAGAUUUAUAAUAUGCAUUUUUAUGUCUGUUCUCAUUUUAUGUGUCAUAAAUAAGACCUCUGGUAAAGAAACAAAAAAUGCCAUCGCUAUCGAAUUUCAUUUCUUCCUACCAAGCACAGACAAUACAUAUGAAAUAUUACAGUUCAU